GGAAGUCAAAUCUGAACCUCAAUUUACAAUCAAUCAUAGAAAAUAUUUACAAGAAUAGAGGAGUAGGAAUUUUCUAGAAAUCAUAAGGUUUUCAUUUAAAGUUCCUAGGUUAUGAAUUAAUACUGGUUAAUAAAAUAUAGGAGAAAAAAAGAUAGAGAAAGGUAAAAUAAGGUUUUUAUUUAAGAUUCCUAGGUUAUGAAUUAAAACUGGUUAAUAAAAUAAAUAAGAGAAAAAAAGAUAGAGAAAGAAUUCCUAGGUUAUGAAUUAAAACUGGUUCAUAAAAUAGAAAAGAUAGAGAAAGGUAUAAAUAGCGAUGAAUAUAAGUAACCGAA
Molecule: non-coding RNA, 332 nt
Organism: Paramuricea clavata
Lineage: Eukaryota; Metazoa; Cnidaria; Anthozoa; Malacalcyonacea; Plexauridae
Source: the annotation of a GenBank genome assembly